Apis dorsata (giant honeybee) is the source of this 196-nucleotide long non-coding RNA. RefSeq lists it as uncharacterized. The record is from RefSeq and is a predicted model, not a curated record. The transcript is spliced from 3 exons. Lineage: Eukaryota; Metazoa; Arthropoda; Insecta; Hymenoptera; Apidae.
GCCCUCGGCGACCGACGCCUCGUGGGCAGCGAGAUCGAGUAGCGCCUGCUGCUUGUAAUAGGUGGACAGCUCGUUCUGCGCGCGGCCUCUGUUUGCCGAGGCCGAUGGCUUCCGGGUAAGCGGCGACUGCAGCAUCCGCUGCUUCCAUUCCAGCAACCGCUUCAUCGACUCCUCGCGCUUUUGUAUCUCUCGUUCU